RNAcentral lists this non-coding RNA (24 nucleotides) under Arabidopsis thaliana (thale cress). Lineage: Eukaryota; Viridiplantae; Streptophyta; Magnoliopsida; Brassicales; Brassicaceae. The record is from RNAcentral.
AGUUUACAAUUGUUAUUAAGUAAC